Molecule: ribosomal RNA, 253 nt
Filed under: uncultured bacterium
Lineage: Bacteria
Description: partial 16S ribosomal RNA
Rfam family: Bacterial small subunit ribosomal RNA
Source: RNAcentral
UACGUAGGGGGCUAGCGUUGUCCGGAUUUAUUGGGCGUAAAGAGCGUGUAGGCGGCCAUGUAGGUCCGGUGUGAAAACUCGAGGCUUAACCUCGAGAUGUCAUCGGAAACCAUUUGGCUAGAGUCCGGAAGAGGAGAGUGGAAUUCCUGGUGUAGCGGUGAAAUGCGUAGAUAUCAGGAGGAACACCGGUGGCGAAGGCGGCUCUCUGGACCACAACUGACGCUGAGGCGCGAAAGCUAGGGGAGCAAACAGG